GGUCAGUAGGUUGGUCGUGCCACCGGUACGUACUGGUCUCACUGAUUCCUCCUUCCUGAAGAACCGUAAUGCCAUUAAUUUGGUGUUGCGGGGAAACAGGACUGUCACUUUGAAAAAAUUAGAGUGUUUAAAGCAAGCUAACGCUUGAAUACAUUAGCAUGGAAUAAUGAAAUAGGACGAUCGAUCCUAUUUUGUUGGUUUCUAGGAUUGACGUA
Molecule: ribosomal RNA, 215 nt
Filed under: Glomeromycotina sp.
Lineage: Eukaryota; Fungi; Glomeromycota
Description: partial small subunit ribosomal RNA
Rfam family: Eukaryotic small subunit ribosomal RNA (bases 39-215)
Source: RNAcentral